AACGAACGCUGGCGGCAUGCCUAACACAUGCAAGUCGAACGAGACCUUCGGGUCUAGUGGCGCACGGGUGCGUAACGCGUGGGAACCUGCCCUUAGGUUCGGAAUAACUCCCCGAAAGGGGUGCUAAUACCGGAUAAUGUCUUCGGACCAAAGAUUUAUCGCCUUUGGAUGGGCCCGCGUUGGAUUAGCUAGUUGGUAGGGUAAAAGCCUACCAAGGCGACGAUCCAUAGCUGGUCUGAGAGGAUGAUCAGCCACACUGGGACUGAGACACGGCCCAGACUCCUACGGGAGGCAGCAGUGGGGAAUAUUGGACAAUGGGCGAAAGCCUGAUCCAGCAAUGCCGCGUGAGUGAUGAAGGCCUUAGGGUUGUAAAGCUCUUUUACCCGGGAUGAUAAUGACAGUACCGGGAGAAUAGGCGCCGGCUAACUCCGUG
RNAcentral lists this ribosomal RNA (433 nucleotides) under uncultured bacterium. Its description in RNAcentral is "partial 16S ribosomal RNA". It matches the Rfam family "Bacterial small subunit ribosomal RNA", at positions 29 to 507 of the family's 1533-position model. The record is from RNAcentral.